GGUCAAUCCUGAUCUCCAUAAACCUCCUCGAUCCCAUGCUCGAUGGGAACUUCAUUAACAGAUGGUAGGUCGACACCACAGCUUUCAAGGCAUUUAGCCCUAACUGCCCUAAGAUAGCAUUAUAUGCUAAGGGCACUCUAAUGACCAGAAAAUCAAUAUUUGUAGUGGAUUGCCAGAGCCCUCAUCCAGCUAUAAUCAGUAGGGUGAUGACCCCUUCGACCGAUAUGGUGUCUCCAAUGAAGCCUACAAGGGGAGAAUCAAGCCUAUCC
This 269-nucleotide long non-coding RNA is filed under the name Elaeis guineensis (African oil palm). RNAcentral describes it as "long non-coding RNA (EGUI_LNC009492)". Lineage: Eukaryota; Viridiplantae; Streptophyta; Magnoliopsida; Arecales; Arecaceae. The record is from RNAcentral.